RNAcentral lists this long non-coding RNA (583 nucleotides) under Fukomys damarensis (Damara mole-rat). RNAcentral's name for it is "lncRNA (ENSFDAG00000030652.1)". The record is from RNAcentral. Lineage: Eukaryota; Metazoa; Chordata; Mammalia; Rodentia; Bathyergidae.
GGAAAAGAGGCAGAAUAGGAGGAGGAAAGCUUUCCCCUGGGUGGUCUCUAGAAAAAGCAUCAAAAGAGAGAAGCUCCUGGAUGUAAGGACAGCAGCCACGGGGAAAGCCAGAGAAUGGCCAGUGGGAGCAGAGCAUUUCCAAGACCGGGGAUGAACAGUGGACACCUCCAGGAAGACAGUUUAGAGCACUGGAAAUGGUGCAGAAGGCCAGCAGAAAAGCGAGUCAUUGUUCCUCCAUGGCUGGAGUGGGAGAACCAACUUCCUGGUAAUGAGACGACAUAAAUCUUCACCCUCCUUUUCACGGAAGCCAGCCAACGAGAUACUGACUGAACAACAGAAGAUACUAUCUUAACUGCACCAUAGCUAGCAGUGCAUGAAGUCUUCAUUCCAGGCUUGACAGGAGAGGGUGUGCAGUCAUCCUGACUCCAGUAUUUUCUGAAGCAGUUGGAAAGAGAUGAGAGGACAGGCGUUGGGAAAAAGUUUUAAAGUGGCUAAAAGCGAAGACAGUGCCAGACUCAUACCUACACCAGUGCACUGUGAUGCUUGGACCCUGACUGUCUUAGAUGCAGAAUUUGAAAAGGAA